AUUAAUCUAGUUUACAAGAAUAUUAAGUUGUGGUCUUAAAGGUGAGUAUUAAUUACUCGAUUAAUC
RNAcentral lists this transfer RNA (66 nucleotides) under Asymmetron sp. A TK-2007. Its description in RNAcentral is "tRNA-His". The record is from RNAcentral. Lineage: Eukaryota; Metazoa; Chordata; Leptocardii; Amphioxiformes; Branchiostomatidae.